RNAcentral lists this long non-coding RNA (279 nucleotides) under Ananas comosus (pineapple). RNAcentral describes it as "long non-coding RNA (ACOM_LNC014983)". The record is from RNAcentral. Lineage: Eukaryota; Viridiplantae; Streptophyta; Magnoliopsida; Poales; Bromeliaceae.
CUGUACCGAUACAGCAAGCAGAAAAGGCUGAUUUUCGCCAGUUUGAUGCAAUUUCUCACUUUUAACAUUCCAAGCAUCCUCUAACUUAUCCAAACACUUGUUCUAACCUUUUAGAACAUGUAGGAGUGAUCCACACACCAUUCCACAUACUCGAACUCCGCAAUUUGCAAAAGUUCAGUAUAUUACAGAAAUAUCUCGGUAUUACAUUUUCAUACAACAUCCACAUAAUACAUUCACAUCUCCAAAAUGUGUAUACAAGUUCAACAUCUACAAACACGA